GCCUGGCAAGCUCAGUCUGUAGAGCACCAGACUUUUAAUCUGAGGAUCCAGGGUACAAGUCCCUGCUCAAGUA
RNAcentral lists this transfer RNA (73 nucleotides) under Chelonia mydas (Green sea turtle). It matches the Rfam family "tRNA". Rfam says of the family: Transfer RNA (tRNA) molecules are approximately 80 nucleotides in length. Their secondary structure includes four short double-helical elements and three loops (D, anti-codon, and T loops). Lineage: Eukaryota; Metazoa; Chordata; Testudines; Cheloniidae. The record is from Rfam by way of RNAcentral.